This is a long non-coding RNA of Cloeon dipterum, 384 nucleotides long. RefSeq lists it as uncharacterized. The record is from RefSeq and is a predicted model, not a curated record. The transcript has 3 exons. Lineage: Eukaryota; Metazoa; Arthropoda; Insecta; Ephemeroptera; Baetidae.
UUUUGAAAGAAAGUAAAGACAGUGCAAGUAAUGUGAAUGUCUGAUGUUCCAAAAUGCUAGGAAUACAGAAGAUUUCCCUGUUUCUGCUGCUUUUCGGAAAAGCGCAAGGUGAUUUGAUUUCGGUCAGAAAAGAAAACGAGACAGUAGCUUGUAUAACUUCAAACUUCGAAUAUGCGAUGGCCUUUGUUAAAAAGCCGGUAAAUGACGCAGAUUUCACCAAAGUGGAAUACCUGGACAGCAAAGGAGAGCCUGUAAUGAUGACCAAAUAUGACUGCAACUUGAUUACAGAUAACUGUACAACGUGGAAUAGGAAAAAGGGUGGUAUUGUACAAGGGUGGAUUUUAUCUGGAAAUAUGACAGGGGAUUUGAUUACCGACUACCGUU